Molecule: long non-coding RNA, 904 nt
Filed under: Cyanistes caeruleus (blue tit)
Lineage: Eukaryota; Metazoa; Chordata; Aves; Passeriformes; Paridae
Description: lncRNA (ENSCCEG00000018283.1)
Source: RNAcentral
AGUACUAGAUUAAGCAGGCGCAUGAUUAAACUCUAGGUGGGACAAAGCGAUGGCACCUCAGCAAAAUGAUUUAGUGGAGGAUGUGUGUUGGUUCCCAGACUUCCCUGAAGACACACCUUAUUCAUUCCUGAGUGCACAUCCUGUAGGCAAUUCCGAGCCAUAGGAGUAGCAGUAAAGGGACAGCAAGUGGAAGCCAGGAACAUGUGAAAUGCAUGGGUUUCUGUGAAACAGCAAUUCCUGCAAACACUUCCAAGACUACAGUUCAGUUGCAGUCUUGCAGAUGACACCUAUGUAGGUCAUAGUGGCUAAUUAUAUAUCUGAGAGCUAUUUUCUUUCCCGGAAAGGUGCGAAUAACUGUGGUUACCUCUCUGAGUUGAAAUGGCAUGAGAUGACAAGAUUUAAUUACACUAAAUACAAGUAAUUUUAACCUUGUUAAGAGCCUACAUGAAAGAUAUAAUAUACAUUGGGACAGUGUAGCAAGUGUAUUUCCAUCAAAGAAGCAUCAAGACUCAAGAAUAUCCUUGACCUUUAUGAACAGAAUGACACUUUUGCCCUCUCCAACUUCUCAUUGUAUAAAUGGCAAAGAGUAAAGAAGAGAAAAGCACCAAGUCUUGUUUUGCUGCUAAUGAAAAGCCUUCUGCCAUAGAAGACAUAUUUGCUGCCUCAGUGGGCCGGUGGCCUUCCUCUAAAUCCAUUGUUGAAGGAUCCUCUUCCAGACUGCUCCUAGCUGGGUAAAGUAUAUUUUACUCUAUGAGUAAUGUAGGUAACAUAUAUAUUUACACAUUGAUAUGUUUUCUGUCCCUCUGGGAAAAUGUGAAACUCAUAAUUAUCCCACUAACGUGAAUUUCUGCUUAACACUUGAAACAAUAAUAAAAGAAAACAGUUUAUUCUAGUGAAAUGUAAA